UAGGGAAUCUUCCACAAUGGACGAAAGUCUGAUGGAGCAACGCCGCGUGAGUGAUGAAGGGUUUCGGCUCGUAAAACUCUGUUGUUGGAGAAGAACGGGUGUCAGAGUAACUGUUGACAUCGUGACGGUAUCCAACCAGAAAGCCACGGCUAACUACGUGCCAGCAGCCGCGGUAAUACGUAGGUGGCAAGCGUUGUCCGGAUUUAUUGGGCGUAAAGCGAGCGCAGGCGGUUUUUUAGGUCUGAUGUGAAAGCCUUCGGCUUAACCGGAGAAGUGCAUCGGAAACCGGGAGACUUGAGUGCAGAAGAGGACAGUGGAACUCCAUGUGUAGCGGUGAAAUGCGUAGAUAUAUGGAAGAACACCAGUGGCGAAGGCGGCUGUCUGGUCUGCAACUGACGCUGAGGCUCGAAAGCAUGGGUAGCGAACAGGAUUAGAUACCCUGGUAG
This 446-nucleotide ribosomal RNA is filed under the name uncultured bacterium. RNAcentral describes it as "partial 16S ribosomal RNA". It matches the Rfam family "Bacterial small subunit ribosomal RNA", at positions 355 to 793 of the family's 1533-position model. The record is from RNAcentral.